CUUAUUCAGAAGUUAUUAAUGCAUCCUAUUUAAUCCAUAUUUAUCCUUUUAUAAUGUUAGAAUUAUCCCAAAUCGAACUUGUCAACUUUAUGGCCAUUUUGGUUACUUUCAUAUUGUGUACACACGUACUAUUUUUAGGUGUAUUGAUUAACUUGAUCUUUUAAACGUUUAGAGAAAAGUAUAGUCAGUUUCAAAUUACCUCGCAGACAGAUCAGCUGUUUUUAGUAAGUGACCUAGAUUUUACUAUUCAUGUAUUUUCACUAUUAUAGCACACACUGCAAUUCUAUUUAGAUAUAUUGUAAUUGAUUCAUAAUUAUUAUUUAUGAUAUUAGCUUUUAAUAAAGCUGCUUUUAUUUAAUUCCAACAAAUCUUAUUCUUGAUUAUUCAAAGUUUGGACUUCAAAACAGUUUUAUUCCUUCGACUUUAAAAUUGAUAUUUAUAUAAUAUCUGCCAACCAUUUACAAUAACGGUUGGCGCUUCAAUUGGUGGCAGCGGUAAAAAGAACAUUUAAAAAAAAAAAAAAGAAAAAGAGAGGAAAAAAGUAAUACAUAAAAAAAAAACCAACAACAUACAAAUCAGCAUAUAUUGAAACUCAAACUGUGGUUUACAUAUGAUAUUAUUGAGCACCAAGAGUUAUUGAAAUUCAAGGUGUAUUUUCCAUAAAUAAAUUAUUGAACACCAAGAGUUAUUGAAAUUCAAGGUGUAUUUUUCCAUAAAAAAUUAUUGAGCACCAAGAGUUAUUGAAAUUCAAGGUGUAUUUUCCAUAUAAAUUAUUGAGCACCAAGAGUUAUUGAAAUUCAAGGUGUAUUUUUUCCAUAAAUAAAUUAUUGAACACCAAGAGUUAUUGAAAUUCAAGGUGUAUUUUCCAUAAAUAAAUUAUUGAACACCAAGAGUUAUUGAAAUUCAAGGUGUAUUUUUCCAUAAAUAAAUUAUUGAGCACCAAGAGUUAUUGAAAUUCAAGGUGUAUUUUCCAUAAAUAAAUUAUUGAACACCAAGAGUUAUUGAAAUUCAAGGUGUAUUUUUCCAUAAAUAAAUUAUUGAACAC
Molecule: long non-coding RNA, 1045 nt
Filed under: Mytilus galloprovincialis (Mediterranean mussel)
Lineage: Eukaryota; Metazoa; Mollusca; Bivalvia; Mytilida; Mytilidae
Source: RNAcentral